CCCCCCGUCCCAAUGUUUGUCUCUUUGAUUCACUGAGCCCCUCUGUGUGUCACUUUGCCCCCUCAGUCCUUCUGUGUGUCUUACUUUCCACCCAGCCCCUCAAUGUGUCUCUUUCUCUCAGGGCCCCUCUGUGUGUCUCUUUGUCCCCCCUCAGCCACUUUGUGUGUCUCUUCUAACAAUGUGGUACUAGUACAAUAUACAGUACAAAACAAUAUUAAGUAUGGAUGGUUAAUAUCUCAAUACAGGGAAAUAAUAUAUAUUAAUGUGCCAAAC
This is a non-coding RNA of Pelobates cultripes (western spadefoot toad), 273 nucleotides long. NCBI's taxonomy places the organism in Eukaryota, Metazoa, Chordata, Amphibia, Anura, Pelobatidae. The record is from the annotation of a GenBank genome assembly.